RNAcentral lists this ribosomal RNA (253 nucleotides) under uncultured bacterium. RNAcentral describes it as "partial 16S ribosomal RNA". It matches the Rfam family "Bacterial small subunit ribosomal RNA", at positions 524 to 776 of the family's 1533-position model. The record is from RNAcentral.
UACAGAGGUCCCAAGCGUUGUUCGGAUUCACUGGGCGUAAAGGGUGCGUAGGUGGUGGGGUAAGUUUGAUGUGAAAGCUCCGGGCUUAACCCGGAAAUGGCAUUGAAUACUAUCUCGCUUGAGGGUUGGAGGGGAGACUGGAAUUCUUGGUGUAGCAGUGAAAUGCGUAGAUAUCAAGAGGAACACCAGUGGCGAAGGCGAGUCUCUGGACAACUCCUGACACUGAGGCACGAAAGCGAGGGGAGCAAACAGG